Long non-coding RNA from Acipenser ruthenus (sterlet), 269 nucleotides. RefSeq lists it as uncharacterized. Lineage: Eukaryota; Metazoa; Chordata; Actinopteri; Acipenseriformes; Acipenseridae. The transcript is spliced from 4 exons. The record is from RefSeq and is a predicted model, not a curated record.
CAGCUCAGACAACCACAUCAGAAUAUACAACAACACUCACCACAGAACCAUCAACGGCAGCAUCUACAACAGCUGAGACAACCACACCAGAAGAUACAACAACACUCACCACAGAACCAUUAACAGCAGCAUCUACAACAGCUGAGACAACCACUCUAGAAGAUACAACAACACUCACCACAGAACCAUCAACAGCAGCAUCUACAACAGCUCAGACAACCACAUCAGAAUAUACAACAACACUCACCACAGAACCAUCAACGGCAGCA